This 468-nucleotide ribosomal RNA is filed under the name uncultured bacterium. RNAcentral describes it as "partial 16S ribosomal RNA". It matches the Rfam family "Bacterial small subunit ribosomal RNA", at positions 28 to 507 of the family's 1533-position model. The record is from RNAcentral.
GACGAACGCUGGCGGCGUGCUUAACACAUGCAAGUCGAACGGUGAUGCUCCAGCUUGCUGGAGUGGAUCAGUGGCGAACGGGUGAGUAACACGUGAGCAACCUGCCCCAGACUCUGGAAUAAGCGCUGGAAACUGCGUCUAAUACUGGAUACGAAACUGGCCCGCAUGGGCAUGGUUUGGAAAGUUUUUCGGUUUGGGAUGGGCUCGCGGCCUAUCAGCUUGUUGGUGAGGUAAUGGCUCACCAAGGCGACGACGGGUAGCCGGCCUGAGAGGGCGACCGGCCACACUGGGACUGAGACACGGCCCAGACUCCUACGGGAGGCAGCAGUGGGGGAUAUUGCACAAUGGGCGAAAGCCUGAUGCAGCGACGCCGCGUGAGGGAUGACGGCCUUCGGGUUGUAAACCUCUUUCAGCAGGGAAGAAGCGAAAGUGACGGUACCUGCAGAAGAAGCACCGGCUAACUACGUG